GGGGGAGUAUGCUCUCUGCUUUGGUGAGGUUCAGUCGCAAGGUUUACCCCUGGUGCUGUGAGAAGGGCAAUUUCCUGCUGUGGGCUGGAGGAGCAGUGGCUGCUUGUUAAUGACAUGGUGGAAAUGGGGGGAGGUGGUGGCCAGGGCAGUGAGCAGCACCUGCUGUGGAGCCAUGCAUCUCUUCCCCCGGGCUGUGGGGCUCAGCUGCUUUUCAGAGGUAAGAGAGGAGAAUAAUUGA
This 238-nucleotide long non-coding RNA is filed under the name Anas platyrhynchos platyrhynchos (common mallard). RNAcentral describes it as "lncRNA (ENSAPLG00000022494.1)". The record is from RNAcentral. Lineage: Eukaryota; Metazoa; Chordata; Aves; Anseriformes; Anatidae.